This 119-nucleotide ribosomal RNA is filed under the name Eucalyptus grandis. Lineage: Eukaryota; Viridiplantae; Streptophyta; Magnoliopsida; Myrtales; Myrtaceae. The record is from RNAcentral.
GGGUGCGAUCAUACCAACACUAAUGCACCGGAUCCCAUCAGAACUCCGAAGUGAAGCGUGCUUCGGCGAGAGUAGUACUAGGAUGGGUGACCUCCUGGGAAGUCCUCGUGUUGCACUCC